UAUAGCAUUCGGUAGCUCGUCAGGCUCAUAACCUGAAGGCCGCAGGUUCAAAUCCUGC
Molecule: transfer RNA, 58 nt
Filed under: Paramesorhizobium deserti
Lineage: Bacteria; Pseudomonadati; Pseudomonadota; Alphaproteobacteria; Hyphomicrobiales; Phyllobacteriaceae
Rfam family: tRNA
About the family: Transfer RNA (tRNA) molecules are approximately 80 nucleotides in length. Their secondary structure includes four short double-helical elements and three loops (D, anti-codon, and T loops).
Source: Rfam by way of RNAcentral